UACGUAGGGGGCUAGCGUUGUUCGGAAUUACUGGGCGUAAAGCGCACGUAGGCGGACAUUUAAGUCAGGGGUGAAAUCCCAGAGCUCAACUCUGGAACUGCCUUUGAUACUGGGUGUCUUGAGUAUGGAAGAGGUGAGUGGAAUUCCGAGUGUAGAGGUGAAAUUCGUAGAUAUUCGGAGGAACACCAGUGGCGAAGGCGGCUCACUGGUCCAUUACUGACGCUGAGGUGCGAAAGCGUGGGGAGCAAACAGG
Molecule: ribosomal RNA, 253 nt
Filed under: uncultured bacterium
Lineage: Bacteria
Description: partial 16S ribosomal RNA
Rfam family: Bacterial small subunit ribosomal RNA
Source: RNAcentral